UCAUAGAUUAUUUUACCAGAAGCUGCAUUGGUACUUGUGGCAUUAUACUGACAAAAACUUUGCAGAAAUGUGAAAGUAUUUUUUGUUGGAACGGAAAUAGUUUUGGAAUUGUCAAGUGAAAGGUCAAAGAAUGUUUUACUCUUUCCUCACUGAUGGACAAUGGACGGAUGCAGUUCAUUGUUUAGAUAAGACUAUUCUCAGCAACUUCACGGGUUUGAGGGUGAUAACCACACCCCAGAUAAAUGGUGCGAUUGUGUUAUUUAUUGCAGGGCACACGGUGGAGGUGGCGUGCCCCUGGCUGACUGCCGCCACGCCGCCGCUGGGCGGGGGAGGGGCGGGGGCACGGCGCUGACCGCACAUGUUGACGGGCUGUCACUCCGAGUUGCGUUGCGGCCGGGAUAAGACGGGCAGCUCCUUCGGUCUUGGCGACUCCUCCUGUGGAAGGCAAGCGUGGCAGAGCAGCGGCAGCGGCGAGGGAGACGAGACGCAGUGCGGGGCAACACAUGGCCGGUGAUGGCUCUCCCGUGACGCCUCCGACGGCAGCUGCGUCCCGCCCCGCACCGCCGUCCCUCCCGCGGCGCCGCCCGUCGAGCUGAGCGUCCCUGUGGCUGGUUCCGGAGUGCUCGCGGGUUGGCAUGGCGUCCCGGGGCCUCGCCAAGCUGUCCUGUUCCCCGCGUGCCAGACUUCUGCCCGCUGGCCGCUAAAUGGAAGAACCUGAGAAUUGGCUCUUGUCCCUCACAAUCCGCGGCGGCCUGAAUCCCGCCCUCAAGAUGUAGAGCCGUCCACGCCUCCCUGCAGGACGACCGGCUGUGUGCAGGACAGCUGGACAGGACAAGGACAGGACUCGCGUCAACGCGCUAUUUAUGCAGACACACGCACACACUCACACACAUACACACACGCACGCACGCACGCACUCUUAACCCUUCUGAUAGACUCCAUGUGUGAGAAGACAUCGUUGUAGACUCUUGGAAGCAACGCUGGUGUCUGUUGUGACGUGUGAAGCUCCUGACAGACUGACUGACCUUCCUACGUGAGAGGAGAAAGGUGCAAGUGUGAUUAAGAACUGAGCAGUAUUCGUGUCUGUGUAACAUUUAUUAAAGUGGACAACCUACGCUGUUCCCAAGGCUAGUAGCGGCUGCGGCAGCGGCGGCGGCGGCGGUGCAGUGUGGUUAAGAAUUGAUCAUCACUUUGAAAAGACAUUAAUUCUCCUCAAACACCUACUGAGGGAACCACCAGUGCCCCUCUCAGCCCCAGGGCGUUAGGGCACCAAGGGCGUGAGUGAUCUUGUCUACUGAUCUGCGCAGCGAGACGAGGAUGAAGAGGGUGCGGCCCGGAGCGUGGGUGGUGGUGGUGCUGGUCGCCGCCCUGGCCUGUCACCACGUCACGGCGACCUGGUGGCUCCUUGGACUCAACAGUGCCCAGAUGCAGAGUUCGGCGGAGCUGGAGCCACAGGUUGGG
This is a long non-coding RNA of Portunus trituberculatus (swimming crab), 1461 nucleotides long. RefSeq lists it as uncharacterized. The transcript is spliced from 3 exons. The record is from RefSeq and is a predicted model, not a curated record. Lineage: Eukaryota; Metazoa; Arthropoda; Malacostraca; Decapoda; Portunidae.